CCUACGGGAGGCAGCAGUAGGGAAUAUUGCUCAAUGGGGGAACCCGGAAGCAGAAACGACGAGGGGAGGAGGAAGGGUUUCGGAUUGUAAACUCCUUUUGUUAGAGAAGAUAAUGACGGUAUCUAACGAAUAAGCACCGGCUAACUCCGGGCCAGCAGCCGCAGUACUACGGAGGGUGCAAGCGUUACUCGGAAUCACUGGGCGUAAAGAGCGCGUAGGCGGGAUUGCAAGUCAGAUGUGAAAUCCUAUGGCUUAACCAUAGAACUGCAUUUGAAACUGUUAUUCUAGAGUAUGUGAGAGGUAGGUGGAAUUCUUGGUGUAGGGGUGAAAUCCGUAGAGAUCACGAGGAAUACUCAUUGCGAAGGCGACCUGCUAGAACAUAACUGACGCUGAUGCGCGAAAGCGUGGGGAGCAAACAGGAUUAGAUACCCCAGUAGUC
Molecule: ribosomal RNA, 439 nt
Filed under: uncultured bacterium
Lineage: Bacteria
Description: partial 16S ribosomal RNA
Rfam family: Bacterial small subunit ribosomal RNA
Source: RNAcentral